This 432-nucleotide ribosomal RNA is filed under the name uncultured bacterium. Its description in RNAcentral is "partial 16S ribosomal RNA". It matches the Rfam family "Bacterial small subunit ribosomal RNA", at positions 28 to 507 of the family's 1533-position model. The record is from RNAcentral.
GAUGAACGCUGGCGGUAUGCUUAACACAUGCAAGUCGAACGGUCACUUCGGUGAUAGUGGCGGACGGGUGAGUAACGCGUGAGAAUCUGUCUUCAGGUCGGGGACAACAGUUAGAAAUGACUGCUAAUACCGGAUGUGCCUUUGGGUGAAAGAUUUAUUGCCUGAAAAAGAGCUCGCGUCAGAUUAGCUAGUAGGUGGUGUAAGAGACUACCUAGGCUCCGAUCUGUAGCUGGUCUGAGAGGACGAUCAGCCACACUGGAACUGAGACACGGUCCAGACUCCUACGGGAAGCAGCAGUGGGGAAUUUUCCGCAAUGGGCGAAAGCCUGACGGAGCAAUACCGCGUGAGGGAAGAAGGCUUUUGGGUCGUAAACCUCUUUUCUCAAGGAAGAUGAUGACGGUACUUGAGGAAUAAGCAUCGGCUAACUCUGUG